This is a long non-coding RNA of Anguilla rostrata (American eel), 222 nucleotides long. RefSeq lists it as uncharacterized. The record is from RefSeq and is a predicted model, not a curated record. NCBI's taxonomy places the organism in Eukaryota, Metazoa, Chordata, Actinopteri, Anguilliformes, Anguillidae. The transcript is spliced from 3 exons.
UCUCAGAGAAGGAGCUUAGCCUACUCCACAGUGAAGUUAUUCAGUACAGAAGUGAUUUCAUUUUCAAAGCUAUCGCCUUUUGGACAAAAGAGAUAUGCCAUUUGAAAAACAGAGGGGAUGGUUUCCCUCUGUAUGUCAUGGCAUUAAAACCAGAAGAGAAUUAAGGGUCUUAGUGACCGUGGUCUACAUCUGCUGGCAAAUCAGUGGAGCCAACGGACAACU